This 467-nucleotide ribosomal RNA is filed under the name uncultured bacterium. Its description in RNAcentral is "partial 16S ribosomal RNA". It matches the Rfam family "Bacterial small subunit ribosomal RNA", at positions 29 to 507 of the family's 1533-position model. The record is from RNAcentral.
ACGAACGCUGGCGGCGUGCUUCACACAUGCCAGUCGAACGGAAAGGCCCUGCUUUUGGGGGGUGCUCGAGUGGCGAACGGGUGAGUAACACGUGAGUAACCUGCCCUUGACUUUGGGAUAACUUCAGGAAACUGGGGCUAAUACCGGAUAGGAGCUCCUGCUGCAUGGUGGGGGUUGGAAAGUUUCGGCGGUUGGGGAUGGACUCGCGGCUUAUCAGCUUGUUGGUGGGGUAGUGGCUUACCAAGGCUUUGACGGGUAGCCGGCCUGAGAGGGUGACCGGCCACAUUGGGACUGAGAUACGGCCCAGACUCCUACGGGAGGCAGCAGUGGGGAAUAUUGCACAAUGGGCGGAAGCCUGAUGCAGCAACGCCGCGUGCGGGAUGACGGCCUUCGGGUUGUAAACCGCUUUCGCCUGUGACGAAGCGUGAGUGACGGUAAUGGGUAAAGAAGCACCGGCUAACUACGUG